UACGGAGGUGGCAAGCGUUACUCGGUUUGACUAGGUGUAAAGGGUCCGUAGGCGGCCUUGUAAGUGGAAGGUGAAAUCUUUUGGCUUAACCAAAAAACUGCCUUUCAAACUGCUUGGCUGGAGGUUGUGAGGGGAUAGUGGAACUGCUAGUGUAAAGGUGAAAUUUGUGGAUAUUAGCAGGAACGCCCGUGGAGAAGUCGGCUAUCUGGCACAAACCUGACGCUGAGGGACGAAAGCUAGGGGAG
This 245-nucleotide ribosomal RNA is filed under the name uncultured bacterium. Its description in RNAcentral is "partial 16S ribosomal RNA". It matches the Rfam family "Bacterial small subunit ribosomal RNA", at positions 524 to 768 of the family's 1533-position model. The record is from RNAcentral.